Molecule: unclassified non-coding RNA, 301 nt
Filed under: Hevea brasiliensis (rubber tree)
Lineage: Eukaryota; Viridiplantae; Streptophyta; Magnoliopsida; Malpighiales; Euphorbiaceae
Source: RNAcentral
GAUUGUCCACAAAAAGACUGCAUCAGUUUUGUGCCUGACAACGGUAAAGAACGAAGAUAAGUUGGAGUUCAGUAGAAUCCUAGAAGCUAUUAAGGCGAACUUCAAUGACAAGUACGACGAGUACAGGAAGAAAUGGGGUGGCGGAAUCAUGGGUUCCAAGUCACAGGCCAAAACCAAAGCAAAGGAGAAGCUCCUUGCCAAGGAAGCUGCUCAAAGGAUGUCUUAGGAAUUCAGAGAUGAACACUAGAGCAAAGGACAAAGGAGAAGCUUCUAGCUGAGCCAGAGGAUGUCAAAGUAUGGC